AUACGGAGGGUGCGAGCGUUAAUCGGAAUUACUGGGCGUAAAGCGCGCGUAGGCGGCUUGGUCAGUCGGAUGUGAAAGCCACGGGCUUAACCUGGGAACUGCAUUCGAUACUGCCAGGCUAGAGUAUGGUAGAGGGAAGCGGAAUUUCCGGUGUAGCGGUGAAAUGCGUAGAUAUCGGAAGGAACACCAGUGGCGAAGGCGGCUUCCUGGACCAAUACUGACGCUGAGGUGCGAAAGCGUGGGGAGCAAACAGGAUUAGAAACCCUAGUAGUCC
This 274-nucleotide ribosomal RNA is filed under the name uncultured bacterium. RNAcentral's name for it is "partial 16S ribosomal RNA". It matches the Rfam family "Bacterial small subunit ribosomal RNA", at positions 523 to 796 of the family's 1533-position model. The record is from RNAcentral.